AAAACUUAGUAAGCCAAAGAGUAAAUCAAAUAGAAUAACUAAUAAGAACAAAAAGUUGGUAGUAAUUUACAUACUGCUUUCUAUACAUUAUCCUCCACUACUGUAAACAUCUGAAGCUGGCAGUAACAAAUCAAUCAACCGAAGUGUGUGUGAGUGACAUAGUCAACACAUCAUAACAAGAUUUCUAAAUGCGCAUAGUCUCCAUUCAUAAGGUCCACUCAAAGUACCUCUAAAUUUGUUCACUGCCGUUCUCCGUGCACUUUCCUCUACUUCUAUUAACCCAACAUUGGGCACAACUAUGUAAAUAUGUACAGUUCCACUAGAAUGUACAGGUCCAAGUUGCCAGUUCUUAUCAAUGAAAUGGAACCUCUUCUAACAUCUAAUUUUUGGAAGGUAAAUAUCCAAGUUAAUACAUUUAAGAUUCCAAGUAAAUAUAGAAUCUAUAGAAGUACGAC
This 455-nucleotide long non-coding RNA is filed under the name Olea europaea (common olive). RNAcentral's name for it is "long non-coding RNA (OEUR_LNC000873)". The record is from RNAcentral. Lineage: Eukaryota; Viridiplantae; Streptophyta; Magnoliopsida; Lamiales; Oleaceae.